AGCCGGAGCACGCCAUAUUGGACCGUCGUCCCCCGAUUACACCCCUAUCCCGUUCCCAUAAAGAACGCUGAAGGAGAGAAAGCCAUUUGGCCUUUCCGGAAGAUGCUGGCCAGUCAGCCAUGGGGCAGGCAGGGUGUGACUCAGGGUCUUCUGAUCCCACCGGGUGCAACAAAUAAGAACAAGAGAACCAGAUACCAACAAAAAUGGAUAGCCCGGGUGAUCCAGCAUCUCAUUCUGCAUUCAGAACAGCUUCAAGUCUGCUGGCUGAGACAGUCCAGCCUCACAAACUACUCCAACCAAGACUUUACAAUUGUAAAAGAACCCUGAUUUUCUCAAGGUUCCCCCUAAAAUACCAGUGACCACAGACAACAGGAAAUCAUCUCAAGAACGAUGCCCACAUUCCAAGAGACAGGAUAUGUGUGGGGUUUGGUCAUUCAAUGGAUUAUAAAUGUUUGUCACUAUUUAGGGAGGAUUGGUUAAAAGUUGUUAUUGUUCAUAGGGGAAAAAAAGCUAAACAAAAGAAUUAAAUUCAAAGAUCUCUUUCUAAAGGAAAAAAGGGGAUAUGAUAUGGAAAUGAUGAGAUAAAAGGGUAGAUUAUUGAAUCAUUUUAAUCCAAAAAAUAACUAUUAAUCUCAAAAUAUUUUACAUUGGUAUGGAUUUUGGUUUAUUGAUACAAAUUUAAAGUUAAUUUUGUUGUACUGUAUGUGUGUUUCUACUCUUGUUUGG
RNAcentral lists this long non-coding RNA (726 nucleotides) under Cricetulus griseus (Chinese hamster). RNAcentral's name for it is "lncRNA (ENSCGRG00000024397.1)". Lineage: Eukaryota; Metazoa; Chordata; Mammalia; Rodentia; Cricetidae. The record is from RNAcentral.